RNAcentral lists this ribosomal RNA (520 nucleotides) under Escherichia coli. RNAcentral's name for it is "partial 23S ribosomal RNA". It matches the Rfam family "Bacterial large subunit ribosomal RNA", at positions 711 to 1229 of the family's 2925-position model. The record is from RNAcentral. RNAcentral also lists the same sequence under 1 other name. Lineage: Bacteria; Pseudomonadati; Pseudomonadota; Gammaproteobacteria; Enterobacterales; Enterobacteriaceae.
AGACCCGAAACCCGGUGAUCUAGCCAUGGGCAGGUUGAAGGUUGGGUAACACUAACUGGAGGACCGAACCGACUAAUGUUGAAAAAUUAGCGGAUGACUUGUGGCUGGGGGUGAAAGGCCAAUCAAACCGGGAGAUAGCUGGUUCUCCCCGAAAGCUAUUUAGGUAGCGCCUCGUGAAUUCAUCUCCGGGGGUAGAGCACUGUUUCGGCAAGGGGGUCAUCCCGACUUACCAACCCGAUGCAAACUGCGAAUACCGGAGAAUGUUAUCACGGGAGACACACGGCGGGUGCUAACGUCCGUCGUGAAGAGGGAAACAACCCAGACCGCCAGCUAAGGUCCCAAAGUCAUGGUUAAGUGGGAAACGAUGUGGGAAGGCCCAGACAGCCAGGAUGUUGGCUUAGAAGCAGCCAUCAUUUAAAGAAAGCGUAAUAGCUCACUGGUCGAGUCGGCCUGCGCGGAAGAUGUAACGGGGCUAAACCAUGCACCGAAGCUGCGGCAGCGACACUGUGUGUUGUUGGGU